AUGUCGCACGCCACGUUGGAGGUUGUGUGUUGGAAUGUUAGGGGGCUCAACAGCCCUGCUAAGAAAAAAGCACUUAGGGAGUUCAUUGACACGGUGCGUGUCGCGAUAAUAUGUAUCCUGGAGUCUAAACUCGAGAGAGUAGACCAAUUCACUAUAUUGCAAUGCUUAGGGCCAUCAUAUGAUGGUUUCGUGUAUCUCCCUGCUUCGGAUACAAUAGGUGGUAUCAUUAUUGGGUGGGACUCCUCCAGAGUGAUGAUUUCGAACGUGGUUCUGGAUACUAACUUCCUCACCGGUUACGUGUCCCCCCUGGAGGGGCCCGUGUGGUGGCUUUCGGUGGUCUACGGGCCGCAGGAAGAUGAGCAGAAAAUCAAUUUCCUCGAGGAGCUUUCGGAGAGAAGGAUCAUUUGCCCGGGUCCAUGUCUUGUGAUUGGAGACUUUAACCUGAUUCUUAAUUUUUUUACAGCGGACAAGAAUAACAACCGGAUUGAUCGCUGGAUGAUGGGAAAAUUCAAGCGGUUUGUGGAUGAUAAUGGCAUUACGGAGUUUUUCUUGCAUGGACGGAAAUUCACUUGGAGCAAUGAACGCGAGGUUCCCACGCUGACGAAAAUUGAUAGAGCUUUUGUAUCGGUGGACUGGGAGCUAGAUCACCCUGAUUGCUUGCUGCAAGCCCUAUCUACCUCGACAUCGGACCACUGCCUCUAUACCUAUCGCUAG
RNAcentral lists this ribosomal RNA (714 nucleotides) under Triticum aestivum (bread wheat). Its description in RNAcentral is "partial small subunit ribosomal RNA". Lineage: Eukaryota; Viridiplantae; Streptophyta; Magnoliopsida; Poales; Poaceae. The record is from RNAcentral.